UUUCUGACCUAUCAGCUUUCGACGGUAGGGUAUUGGCCUACCGUGGCAGUGACGGGUAACGGGGAAUUAGGGUUCGAUUCCGGAGAGGGAGCCUGAGAAACGGCUACCACAUCUAAGGAAGGCAGCAGGCGCGCAAAUUACCCAAUGAAAACAGUUUCGAGGUAGUGACGAGAAAUAACAAUACAGGGCAUUUUAUGCUCUGUAAUUGGAAUGAUGGGAAUCUAAAACCCUUUCAGAGUAACAAUUGGAGGGCAAGUCUGGUGCCAGCAGCCGCGGUAAUUCCAGCUCCAAUAGCGUAUAUUAGAGUUGUUGCAGUUAAAAAGCUCGUAGUUGGAUUUCUGUCGUGGUCUUCCGGUUUCGCCCGUACGGGUGUUGACUUGGGUAGCCCUCGGCAUUCUUCCGGUGCCUUCCCCGCUUCACUGCGUGGUAGGUUUCUCCGGAACUUUUACUUUGAGAAAAAUAGAGUGUUUCAAGCAGGCUUUCGCCUUGAAUACUUCAGCAUGGAAUAAUAAGAUAGGACUUUGGUUCUAUUUUGUUGGUUUCUAGGACUAAAGUAAUGAUUAAUAGGGACAGUUGGGGGCAUUCGUAUUUAA
Molecule: ribosomal RNA, 593 nt
Filed under: Schellackia sp.
Lineage: Eukaryota; Apicomplexa; Conoidasida; Eucoccidiorida; Lankesterellidae
Description: SSU rRNA
Rfam family: Eukaryotic small subunit ribosomal RNA
Source: RNAcentral